GGGCCCGUCGCCUAGCACGGAUCAGGGCACUGACAAGUGGAGCCAGAUGUCGUGGGUUCGAAUCCCACCGGGCCCG
Molecule: transfer RNA, 76 nt
Filed under: Nitrososphaerota archaeon
Lineage: Archaea; Thermoproteati; Nitrososphaerota
Description: Thaumarchaeota archaeon tRNA-His
Rfam family: tRNA
About the family: Transfer RNA (tRNA) molecules are approximately 80 nucleotides in length. Their secondary structure includes four short double-helical elements and three loops (D, anti-codon, and T loops). Further hydrogen bonds mediate the characteristic L-shaped molecular structure. tRNAs have two regions of fundamental functional importance: the anti-codon, which is responsible for specific mRNA codon recognition, and the 3' end, to which the tRNAs corresponding amino acid is attached (by aminoacyl-tRNA synthetases). tRNAs cope with the degeneracy of the genetic code in two manners: having more than one tRNA (with a specific anti-codon) for a particular amino acid; and 'wobble' base-pairing, i.e. permitting non-standard base-pairing at the 3rd anti-codon position.
Source: RNAcentral